RNAcentral lists this transfer RNA (72 nucleotides) under Gemmatimonadota bacterium. RNAcentral describes it as "tRNA-Cys". It matches the Rfam family "tRNA". From Rfam's summary of the family: Transfer RNA (tRNA) molecules are approximately 80 nucleotides in length. The record is from RNAcentral. Lineage: Bacteria; Pseudomonadati; Gemmatimonadota.
GGCGCCGUAGCCAAGUGGUAAGGCAGUGGACUGCAAAUCCGCCACGCGUCGGUUCGACUCCGACCGGCGCCU